GGACAGUCAUCGCCGAGUCCCCGUACGGCGCGAGCCAGGGGAGCCGGGGACCCACCUGUGCAGUCCCUGGGGUGAAUCGGACGCCCGCGCGUGAGCGAGGGCGGCCGUAGGAGACCUUCCUGCUCCGAACCCGUCAGCUAACCCGGUAGGCGAGAAGGAAGGAAAG
This 166-nucleotide small RNA is filed under the name Streptomyces sp. Its description in RNAcentral is "c-di-AMP sequence". It matches the Rfam family "c-di-AMP riboswitch aptamer (ydaO/yuaA leader)". Rfam says of the family: This family represents a conserved RNA structure found upstream of the ydaO and yuaA genes in Bacillus subtilis and related genes in other bacteria. The ydaO/yuaA element is thought to act as a genetic "off" switch for the ydaO and yuaA genes in its native state. It is believed that the element may be triggered during osmotic shock leading to activation of ydaO, a predicted amino acid transporter gene, and members of the yuaA-yubG operon which code for KtrA and KtrB K+ transporters. The record is from RNAcentral. Lineage: Bacteria; Bacillati; Actinomycetota; Actinomycetes; Kitasatosporales; Streptomycetaceae.